UGAAUUCACAAGUCUGGACAGCUGCAGUCACGUGUGCUGGCUGGAGCCGCUUCAAGUGAGAUUUGAAGACCUCCUUCUCCCACUGCCGAAUCUGGAGUCUGUCUCUGUUGAGGCUGACCUACCAUCGGACACUUACCGGGCUAGGAUCUGGCAUAGCCUGUGGGAACGGCUCAGCAGCUCUCCUGAAGCACAUAUGUCGACCCUGCGACUAGGCCCAAGCCCUCCCAGUCAGCAGCUUUGGCUGCAAUUAUGUGAGGGUCUAGCACCCUUUGUGGUACAUUGGCAGUCACGUGGACUGUUGGCAGGAUUUGUGGCACCCAAGAAGAUUCAUAUCUUGCUCACCUUGGAAUCCCGUGGACCACACCUUGUUGCAUCCUUGCUGGUUGAGGACUUGUCAUUGCUGCCUAGGGUACAAGCAUUUCUGCAGUCCUUGUGCAUUCUUUCAUAGCACUGCAGGGUUUCAUGAAUUGCCUGUACCAUAAGACUGUUCACCAUCACUGCUAUUUAGUUACUUUCACUUUGAACAUGCUUGUAGAAAGACUUUCAGAGCCAGGUGAUGAGGGCAGAUGACACAGGAUGAAAUAUGUCUGUGCCUUUAGUGCUAGGGCCAGUAUGCUUUCUGCAGGUGUCUAUGAGCAUACCCUACAAAGAAUUUUACAGUUGAUGUAUUUUUUAUAUAAAAUUCAUUAUGAUGUCUGAAUAGUGUAUACCAGAACACAGCGAGCUCUGUGUGUGCUGCCAUAUUGAGAAUUCUUGUUGCGCCGUCUGUUGCAAGCACGGCGAAGCAACACCCUGCACUGCCGCGCAAACAGACGCUCCGCAAAUCGAACGCGAAAUUUCACCACCCAAGUCCGGCUGUAAGCAUGUUACGUGUUUUUCUUCUCCUGAAAUAUUGUGCUGUUUUCAUGUGAAACGCCAAGGAGACCUUCCUCGACAGUCCAGAAUGUCUACAGCACGUGCAUUGUGGACUACGGAAGCAACUUCAUCAGGUACUUACUAUGGCGAUAAAAAGAAGCACGAACAGUGGAGAGCAUUGCUUUCAACUCGGUCAAAAGGCAGCAUGCCUUGACUGUAACAAGGCAAAACUUGUGCUGUAAGCCAACGUCUCUGUAGAGUUAUAGGAUCCUCUUCUGACUUGCGCUCAUGCACUGCAUAUGCUUAUCUUUGGCCAGUCAUGCCUUGCUUGCAGGACACACACAAGUGGUGUGAAAGUGUCAGCCAGAGCAAGACUUACGGGGCUGCAGUGAGGCCGACUGAAAGCAGAUUUGCCUAGCGACAGUCAAGGCAUGCCACACCGCAGUUCGACUGAGUUGAAAGACACAUUUUUCCCUGCAGUGUUGACAUUUCUUUGUUGUGCUUACACGCAUGCGUUAGUCUUAAAAUAUUAUGUUAUUGUCAUGCGGCCUGGGAAAGAGUACGGCAACGAAUAUGUGCCACUUACUACACGUGUACUGCUCACCAUUUAAUCACUGCUGUAGAGCAAACCAGAUUGUGUGGUGCUUGAAUAAACGCACUAGGUGUACUUAUUCGUUUAC
Long non-coding RNA from Rhipicephalus microplus (southern cattle tick), 1535 nucleotides. NCBI's taxonomy places the organism in Eukaryota, Metazoa, Arthropoda, Arachnida, Ixodida, Ixodidae. The record is from RefSeq and is a predicted model, not a curated record.